GUGACAUAUAUAAAUUUUGUCUUAUAGACAUAUGUACAAUUGAUAGUGUUUAAUUGUGUCCAAAAUAAUCCUUGGGUAGUGAGCAAAUCUGUAUACAAAGUUAGAAAGGGUUCCCUAAUUAAUAAUGAACAUCUAUAGAGCACGGAUAGUGCUUUCAGUAAUUGAAGGGAAAUUAACGGUUGUGUCGCCCAGUGGUACAAGGUUAUUGAUAGGAUACGUAGAUAGAUGAACGGGGGUCGGCUGGACAACUAAUUAUACUAAUAGAAGAACAUUUAAUAGAAAUGUACAUAAUUAUCAUUUCUAAAGAAUAUUUAAUUAGAAUUUUAAUCGAAAACAUUAAAAUAUAAGUAGAAAAUCAACAGCAUGACCAGUUUUAUUGUUGUAAAGCAGCAAUGCUUGUUAAGAUUACAUUAUAGUUGUUGUGCUGAAGUGCGUUUGCUCCAGAGAUGUAGAUAUUAUUUUUAAACUUGAUUCAAAACAUCUGAUAGAAUCAUUGACAUCGGAGAAAUCUGUUAAGUACAUUACAGAAUUAGCCCAAGCGUUCGCAAAAAAGGCAGCAGAGACUUUCAUCAAUGAAAUUAAAAAUAAGAAACAUCUCUUUAAUAAGAAACGUAAGAAAAGAUCCAAACUAGUUAAAGUGGACAGAGUGCAGAAAAUAAUGGAAUCUAAGUACCAUGACGAGGAUGUUUUGACUGAAGGGGAAGCAUUCAAAUUACUGGAGAAACCUUCACCAGACGGCGACAACUUGGACUGGCACGCCCCCCAAGACCUGACCGCGGAAAUGGAAAAUACAGAAGAGCCCAAGACCAAGAAGAAAAGAAUCCCAGUGUAUGGAUUGAAGAAGGUUAAUGGUAUCUAUGUCAGAAGGUUUUUAGGACUUUUAUAAUAAACUAAAUCGCUUUUACACUA
Molecule: long non-coding RNA, 909 nt
Organism: Danaus plexippus (monarch butterfly)
Lineage: Eukaryota; Metazoa; Arthropoda; Insecta; Lepidoptera; Nymphalidae
Exons: 2
Source: RefSeq, a predicted model, not a curated record